Non-coding RNA from Cinara cedri, 328 nucleotides. Lineage: Eukaryota; Metazoa; Arthropoda; Insecta; Hemiptera; Aphididae. The record is from the annotation of a GenBank genome assembly.
UCAUUAGAAAUGAUUUACCGGCGCUUAUAGAUUUACAUUAAAUUUCCUCUCUAUUUCCUUCCCAACUUCUAACCUAUAUUUUCUUUUUCUUUUUUGUGUCCUACGUUUGCGGCCGUUCGUGAUCAACCGUGCGAUGACACUGAUAAUCGCGAUCGAAAAUUGCAGAACGAUAGUCAAUUUCCGUUGUUCGCGUUAUUAACGAUUUGCGUUAUUUGCGUUUCCGAUUAUUUGAGGCGAAAAUUUGUAAUCGCCUAAUUAUGUACCUAACACUAUUAAUAACGACUGUUAGUCUAAACAAUUUUUUAUUCUAUCCACCGUUAAUUCCAUA